GGGGGUGACUGGUUUCGACAGGGUAUGUCUGAGAUGGUAAGCAAGCCGUGGUCUCCUCGCCACGUAAAACAGGGGUACCGUCAAAUUGAAUUGACAACAACAAAUCUUUCGAGCCUCAACUGGCUCUCGCCGCAUAACGUAAGUCGGCGCGCCUAACCAAGGGUUCUCCCGCCUUUGGGGUGGUGUCAUCUGAGGGAGAUGCUCGCGCGAACGUAGCUGGUAUGUCGUGCGAAAAGAUCGAACCCGCUAGGACGCUGAGCGCGCGUUGCCAGGUGCGAUGCGUCCGAAACCCAACUGGCAACUGAGCUUGGAGAAAGCCGUCAGGGAUGUGCUUUGGACCGGAGUUCGAUUCUCCGCACCUCCACC
RNAcentral lists this transfer-messenger RNA (366 nucleotides) under bovine gut metagenome. It matches the Rfam family "transfer-messenger RNA". Rfam says of the family: Bacterial tmRNA, also known as 10Sa RNA or SsrA, is named for its dual tRNA and mRNA-like properties. Its role is to liberate the mRNA from a stalled ribosome. To accomplish this part of the tmRNA is used as a reading frame that ends in a translation stop signal. The record is from RNAcentral.